UACGUAGGGUGCAAGCGUUAAUCGGAAUUACUGGGCGUAAAGCGUGCGCAGGCGGCUUUGCAAGACAGAUGUGAAAUCCCCGGGCUUAACCUGGGAACUGCAUUUGUGACUGCAUGGCUGGAGUGCGGCAGAGGGGGAUGGAAUUCCGCGUGUAGCAGUGAAAUGCGUAGAUAUGCGGAGGAACACCGAUGGCGAAGGCAAUCCACUGGCGCACUCCUGACGCUGAAACACGAAAGCGUGGGUAGCGAAUGGG
This 253-nucleotide ribosomal RNA is filed under the name uncultured bacterium. RNAcentral's name for it is "partial 16S ribosomal RNA". It matches the Rfam family "Bacterial small subunit ribosomal RNA", at positions 524 to 776 of the family's 1533-position model. The record is from RNAcentral.